RNAcentral lists this ribosomal RNA (467 nucleotides) under uncultured bacterium. RNAcentral describes it as "partial 16S ribosomal RNA". It matches the Rfam family "Bacterial small subunit ribosomal RNA", at positions 29 to 507 of the family's 1533-position model. The record is from RNAcentral.
ACGAACGCUGGCGGCGUGCUUAACACAUGCAAGUCGCACGGAAAGGCCCUGCUUUUGUGGGGUGUUCGAGUGGCGAACGGGUGAUUAAAACGUGAUAAACCUGCCCUUGACUUUGGGUUAACUUCAGGAAACUGGGGCUAUUACCGGAAAGGAGCUCCUGCUGCAUGGGGGGGGUUGGAAAGUUUCGGCGGUUGGGGUUGGACUCGCGGCUUAUCAGCUUGUUGGUGGGGUAGUGGCUUACCAAGGCUUUGACGGGUAGCCGGCCUGAGAGGGUGACCGGCCACAUUGGGACUGAGAUACGGCCCAGACUCCUACGGGAGGCAGCAGUGGGGAAUAUUGCACAAUGGGCGGAAGCCUGAUGCAGCAACGCCGCGUGCGGGAUGACGGCCUUCGGGUUGUAAACCGCUUUCGCCUGUGACGAAGCGUGAGUGACGGUAAUGGGUAAAGAAGCACCGGCUAACUACGUG